UUGUGUGGAGGUUGAGAAUGUCUUUUGUAGAAAAGGCGUAAAUUUUGGCAGCUGACACAGCUUGCCAAACCUCAUUCAAAAAUAGGCACCCCGUGAAAAUGUGGUCAGCAGGCUGAGGUUAAAAUCUGAGGGAAGUCAACUCUAGCCCCCCCCCCCCCCUUUAUUUAUCGGCCUAGUCACUUUCUCCCAACGCCCAAUGGAUGCAGUUUUUCCCUUCCUUCCCUCCCCGCAAGAACCGCUUUCUUAGCCCAUCGAGUUUAUGAAUGACCCGUAAAGGAGCUUUGAACAAUGAAAAAUAAUAUACAGGAUGAUAUUCACUUAAUCAACCCCAAAUGACAUCAUAUGCCUUGUUGACGCUGCUUAACCAAAUCGAUUAGAUGCUCAUAACUCCAACCUUGACUCCUUGUAUGGUCAACCUCUUCAACAAUCUUUAGAAAAUCCCCCUUUCCAAAAGCAACAAGAACCAAAGGGUCAGUUUUUAACUCCACAACAUCCCCAAAAAAUCCCAUCUUUAUCCUAUAAUCCAACUCAUCAAACCCAAACCCAUGUGCAUCAUACAAAAUCCCACAAGUAACAAUGUCGGGUUUCACAUUUCGAGCUUCCAUUUCCAAGAUCACGCCUUUAAAGCGUCUAAAAUCUUUCAUUUUGGCAUACGCACAUAGUAUUGUGUUUGCGAUAGUCACACUCCAUUUAACUUUCCUGUAGUCCAUUUCACGCACGAUAGACUCCAUUCCCGUUCGGCUCAGAAGACAAGCAUGCGAAAGCAUUCUUAAACACCACAUGAUGUUCGUGUUGCCGGUUCUGGAAUAAAGUCUGAUACCCAUAUCGUCUAACUUAGAAAACAUGUAGUU
Molecule: long non-coding RNA, 851 nt
Filed under: Helianthus annuus (common sunflower)
Lineage: Eukaryota; Viridiplantae; Streptophyta; Magnoliopsida; Asterales; Asteraceae
Description: sRNA HanXRQr2_Chr01g0033411
Source: RNAcentral